UACGAAGGGGGCUAGCGUUGUUCGGAAUCACUGGGCGUAAAGGGCGCGUAGGCGGCUUUGUAAGUCGGGGGUGAAAGCCUGUGGCUCAACCACAGAAUUGCCUUCGAUACUGCGAGGCUUGAGACCGGAAGAGGUUAGUGGAACUGCGAGUGUAGAGGUGAAAUCGUAGAUAUUCGCAAGAACACCAGUGGCGAAGGCGGCUGACUGGUCCGGAUCUGACGCUGAGGCGCGAAAGCGUGGGGAGCAA
Molecule: ribosomal RNA, 247 nt
Filed under: uncultured bacterium
Lineage: Bacteria
Description: partial 16S ribosomal RNA
Rfam family: Bacterial small subunit ribosomal RNA
Source: RNAcentral